UUUUAAUUUGCAAGAUAGAAUUGCAUUCAUGCAUUUCAAAAUUCAUCUAAGAUUUGGUUUCAUCUUUGCAGUACCCCGUAAAACUGGUCUCUAUGAGAUCUAACAGCAAGAUUCAUAGUUGAGAAAUAAAUUUGAAGAGACACAGAAGGGCAGAGACACUAAAAGCUGCUGGAAUGAAUACAAUUCUGAGGAAGACAACACACCUCUGAUCAGUUUUGAUUUCUUUUUCUCCUUACCCCGUUCUCUUCCUCCUUCCCCAAAUGCCUUUCCUCAUCCCUAACAUGUCCAAACCCCCAUUUCCUAUCAUCUUUCCUUGAUUUUGCCUGUGUGUUUGUCAUAAGUUACUUUUAUCACUUUAAGGUAAGGUCUUUAUAUACAUAUUUAUUUUGUCAGCUUUUUAAAAAUCCCAAAUAGGUGUUGGAUUUUCUCAAAAGUUUUUUCCCCCACAUCUAUUGAGGUGAUCAUGUGAUUUUCAACCUUACAUUAAUUUAUGUAAUGUAUUGUAUUUAUCUUUUUAUGUAUAUUGUACCAUUCUUGCAUACUUGGGAUGAGGCCGACUUGGUCAGGAUGUUUGACCUUUUGAAUGAUUUGUUGUAGCCUGUCGAGGAUUUGUGUAUCCAGGUCCAUUAAAGACAUUGACCUGUCGUUUUCUUUUUUUGUUGAGUCCUUUUCUGAUUUUGGUGUGAGGGUAAUUUGGCUUUGACGAAUGAGUUUGGCAGUAUUCCUUCCCUUUCAAUUUCAUGGCAGAGUUUGAGAAAUAUUAGGUUAAUUUAUUCUUUGAAUUUCUGGUAAAAUUCAAUAGUGAAACAUUUGGGUCCUGGGGUUUUCUUGGUAAAGUUUAUAUGGCUGCCUCAAUUUAAUUGCCAUUUUUUUUCUCAAGAUUCAUGCAUUUUUGUGUUGACUGUUGUAGAUCAGUUGGUUUAGAAAGCCCUGUCACUACAGUAGAGAUAUUUUUAUCAAAUGAACUUCUUGUUAUGUGCUUUGGGUGUGAUUCACUUCACAUCUGUUGAACUUUUUCAAAUUACAAGGAUUGGUUCCUGGCACUGAAUUGCAAGGAGAGAACAACCACUGGUAAUAUCAAUAACCAAAGAACAAAUCAUUUAUUAUUAUUCAAUUCAAAGCUUGUUUGGCAAGUUUUCUACUCUUUCAAUAAUCCAGGAAUACAAAGGAUAAGUAAUGGUAGAAAAAGUGCUGGAAGGUAAAAAAAAGAUAAAAGAAAAAAAAAGAAUUUAGAAAUAAAUGACAGAAGAAAAAUGGACAAAACAG
This 1266-nucleotide long non-coding RNA is filed under the name Heterocephalus glaber (naked mole-rat). RNAcentral describes it as "lncRNA (ENSHGLG00100045396.1)". Lineage: Eukaryota; Metazoa; Chordata; Mammalia; Rodentia; Bathyergidae. The record is from RNAcentral.